AACCAGUACCCUCAGGAUGUGCGAUAAUCAUGCUAGGAUUUCAUCGAUGGUACAUUGCCAGACGCAGACCACCCAGUACCGAGUUGAGACAAGAUAUGUUGAGUAGGUUGUCGGGAGGUAAGUCACCGUGAGGUGUGUGGCGGAUGCAUAACGGGAAACCCUACAACGCCAGGCAACGUGCGCGCCGACACAGUGCUUCUGCAACGUGUCGCUUUCCUCAGGCGCUUUCUUCAAUGAGGACGGGUUUUGCAUUUUUGUAGCACUCCAGCGUGUUUCCAAGUGAUCUUGCGCGGUUGCGUGACUGAUUUGAUGCUUUGAUUGAUUGAAAUCAAUACUGGCACCGAAAGACCUUUGAGUAAAGUGAAGAUCGGAGGUAGUGAUACGGCGCAUCUGUCACGCCAGUUGUGCAUGUUUGUGCUGUUUCUUUGUCAUUCAGGGGUUGAUCCACCGGAUGAUGCAGCUCUCGACGCACGCGUCUACCGCGGCACUUCAAUUAUAUUUCGGAAUCGAUUUUUUUUCGCUGGCGACAGACUGCUUCUUUUUUCCAGGUUCAUUCCUUUACGGACGAACGCGACCGGAGGAAGGAACAGUAUAUCAGUGGCAUCGGAGUAACCGGUGUCGACGCUCGAGCAAAAUACCACACAAACGAAACGGAUGCGUACCAUCAGAAACAGGUGGACGGCGCGCCGGUUGUGCAAGCAACCGUGUAGGAACAGUGACCGUAGGCAUUUGCAUUGUCACCUAAAUCAAGAAAGGCUCGUAAAACUGGGAUCCGGUAAACAGAGACCUUCGUGAUCUAAACCCGUCGUCCACCCCGUCUACCAUCUCCCCAGGAAAGGCUUAUGAAUUGUCCUUUUUCUCAGGGAUAACGGUACUAAUCGUGCGAAUAUAUGGUUAGUCGCUUUUUCCUGCUGUCGUUCGCUGUAGGGCACUGCGUCGUUCGUGAUUUCCGAUGAGCAUCACGAGGUUUUACAGACGUCGUACCCGUGUACAUUUAUACAGCGAGCAAUUCAGGGACAUCCCCCCGCGAACGAGUGCUCUUGUUUCAGACUAACAGGUGCGUAUGAUGUGACGCUACAUAGUGUGUGCAAGUAUUCACAAUACCUGGACUUCUAGAGUCAACCAAUUUCCUGUGUGGAAAUACCACUCUGGUUCGUUGCGAGUCUGUCUCUUUUUCUGGCCGUGUUUUUUGCUGCGGUUGCGCCGUUGUAAUUCGUGGGUCUUCUCGAGCAAAUCUUCGCUGCGUCCUCUUGAGUGAGGCACA
RNAcentral lists this long non-coding RNA (1264 nucleotides) under Toxoplasma gondii VEG. The record is from RNAcentral. Lineage: Eukaryota; Apicomplexa; Conoidasida; Eucoccidiorida; Sarcocystidae.